UGGGGAAUCUUGGACAAUGGGGGCAACCCUGAUCCAGCCAUGCCGCGUGAGUGAUGAAGGCCUUAGGGUCGUAAAGCUCUUUCGCCUGUGAAGAUAAUGACGGUAGCAGGUAAAGAAACCCCGGCUAACUCCGUGCCAGCAGCCGCGGUAAUACGGAGGGGGUUAGCGUUGUUCGGAAUUACUGGGCGUAAAGCGCACGUAGGCGGACCAGAAAGUUGGGGGUGAAAUCCCGGGGGCUCAACCCCGGAACUGCCUCCAAAACUAUUGGUCUAGAGUUCGAGAGAGGUGAGUGGAAUUCCAAGUGUAGAGGUGAAAUUCGUAGAUAUUUGGAGGAACACCAGUGGCGAAGGCGGCUCACUGGCUCGAUACUGACGCUGAGGUGCGAAAGUGUGGGGAGCAAACAGGAUUAGAUACCCUGGUAGUCCACACCGUAAAACGAUGAAUGCCAGUCGUCGGGUAGCAUGCUAUUCGGUGACACACCUAACGGAUUAAGCAUUCCGCCUGGGGAGUACGGUCGCAAGAUUAAAAC
Molecule: ribosomal RNA, 529 nt
Filed under: uncultured bacterium
Lineage: Bacteria
Description: bacterial SSU rRNA
Rfam family: Bacterial small subunit ribosomal RNA
Source: RNAcentral